This 4538-nucleotide small RNA is filed under the name Pongo abelii (Sumatran orangutan). RNAcentral describes it as "retained intron". Lineage: Eukaryota; Metazoa; Chordata; Mammalia; Primates; Hominidae. The record is from RNAcentral.
GGGGUCCCAUCUGGCACUGCAUGGGCCAUAGGUCCCCACCCCUCCCACUUCCUAAAACUGUUCUUCAUGUUGAGCCUGUGACUCUUCUCCCCCUCCCCCACUCUGAAUGGGGUCUUGGCCCCCUCUGUCACAGCAGAUCCAUCUCUGGGACCCCCCAAGACAGAUUGGUCCCCAGCCCCUACACAUGCAUGUCACCGUCCUCCUUGACUGCAAACUCCCCCUCCUCACGGUGUGCCCCCACGCCUCCUGACACCUCUCCACCUGCUUGCAGAGAUCAGUGUACUUCUCAAUCGUUGUCCAUAUCUUUUCCAAAAAGAUUCCUCAAUGCUUUUCUUUUCAAAAGGGAAAAAAAAAGGAAAAAAAAAACAAUGCCAACAGCCCAGCGUCCGUGAGCAACCCAACAGUAACAAAGCAUGCGUUCGGGAUGGAGGAAGGUAAGGCCACACAUUUCCAUUUGCCGCUUGCUCAUAGGGCUGGGCGGCCGGGAUGACUUGGAGGGGGGAAUCUGAGCAGCCCUCCUCCCCUCCACUUCCCACACACACCCCUGCCUGCAGGGGGAGGAACAGAAGGGGUCUGAGAGGAGGCGUGGAGAAAAGUGCCCACAAAGCUGCCCCGGGGCCGGCAGUCCCCCGUUUCUUUCACUGUUAGUCUGUGUUGAAGAAUGGGCCCCCACCUCCGCUUACCACAUCAUUCAUUCAUUCAUUCAUUCAUGCUAGAAAUGUUUAGGGCACCCAUGAUUUUCCAGGCCACUAGGGAUACAGAGAUAAGGCACAGAACCCCCCUGAGGGGGUCUCCCCUAGAUGAGACACAUGGGACGAUGAGGAGGCCUGGGCUAGGAGUCAGCACAGCACAGGGUAGGGUCUGGUGGGCUCUGCUUGGGGGACAGGACGGGCUCACAGAGGAGUGGACACUCGUGCUAAGCUUUGGAAGAUAAGUAGGUGUUCUGGGGCCCAGGGAGCCGGUGAAGGGCUUUUUAGAGCAAGUUACAGGAGCACAGGCCCAGAGGCCUAGAACCACCUGGAUGGGUCCAAAUACCACAGAGCUUCAUCACUUUUGUGUCUCAGGCAUAAUAAUGGGUAUCACUAGUGAGGGGUUGGCGGCAGGUCAUGGAAGGCCAUUUCAUAGUGCUGGGGAGUUCAGACCUUGCCCUGGGAACUGUUAGGAGUGGCUGAAGGCUUUUACGCAGAGGAAAAGCAAGAUGAGGGCUGUGCUGUAGACAGCCCACUCUGGCUUUGGCACAGGGUGGGUGACCUGGAGUCAGGAGACCGAGGCACACAGUGCAGGCUUAGCCAGGACAGAGGCAGAGGAGGGAGAAGUUCAGCAGAGCCUUGGUUACCUUACCCUGGGAUGCCGGGGCGAGGGAGAACGCUGCCCCCAUCCAUCUUACCCGGGCCUAACUGGCAAAGGGAAAAUGCGAGCAAGGCGCUCAGGUUGUCCCUGGCCCCCAAGAACAGGACAUUCAUCUUGUAAGCCCCUGGGCGGCUUUCCCUGCACUGUGGUGUGAUGGGCUGGGGUGCGUCCAUGAAGACUCAUUGGUGGGACCACCGAGGCUGCUGGGGUAUUUGCUGGGGGCCUGUGCCAAGGGACGGUGGGGGUGCCAUGCCUGGGCCCGGGCUCCCGUUUCCUGGCUUCCUUGGCAGUGUGGAUGUGGAGGCAUUUUGCAUCAAGGCCAUUAAAGCUGCCCCUGAGCUGUAAAAAGGGGCCAGCCUUCCCCAUCCUGAUGGCCCUGCCUGCUCCUUCCUCAGGGGCCUUCUUCCUUAGGCCUGGCUGCCCGAUCCUGAGGAAGCCCCUGCUUUUCCUGCUCCUGCCGGUGCUCUUCUCCCGCCCGCCUGGCCCUGCUGUCAGCGCCCCCUAGUGCCGGGCCGGCCGCGCAUGAGGGCGGUGGGACAGAUCGCCCACAACUCCUCGGCUUGCUUGUGGGGAAAGAAGGCAACAGAGGGGUCUCUUGGAGUCUGGAGCUUCCAUGUAGAAUCCCCAGGGUCUACUCUUGGCUUUACCACCCUCUCCAUCUCAUGGCACGAUGGCCUGUCCCCCCAGAUUAGGGUGAUACCAAAGGAGGAGCAGGAAAAAAAGAUCCCACCUGCCUUGUUUUCUAUCCGUAUCCAGAUAGCUCUUGACUUUCCCAGGCAGCCAAUGUCCCUUGGAGGUCAGGGACCAUAGUCAGGCCCUCAGUCCCUGUCCACAGUCCCAUCCCCCUACUUUCCCCAAUUUGCCAAGAGGCCCUGGUGUCCCAGUGAACUGUCCCACCGAGACCCAGGCGACAGACUCGGCUGAUGGAUCCCAAGGGCCCCUCCCCUCCCCAGGCCCAGGUGCCCACCUCCUCCCCGCUCCACUCUGUGGCUGCUGCAGGCCUGCGGGGAGUGGGGGUCAGUGGCUCAUUCCUGGCUGGCUGGUGUUGGCCAGCCCAGGAGUGAAGGCCAUGACCCCUUCAUUCCCUAACCAGAGCCAGCUGUACUGCGCGUGUGGUGGCGGGGGGCCCGGGAGCGGUUGCAGGGUGAAGACCAAGGUCUCGAGCCAGACCAGAUGAGUGCAACGUUUUUGCACAUCUUGCUGUUUCAAGUGACUGCUUUGAGGUCCUGCACUCCUGGGUGGACAGGCCAGACUCCUUCAGUCACAGGCAGGCAUCCCUUGGAGAAGGAAAGGUUGCAGGUCUACAUAUCUUGGCUUGGGGCAGACUCCAGAGACUGCCCGGUGUGUGUGUGCCCAUAUGUCAGAGCCCCCGGGGGAGACUGAAAGGGAAUCGGAACUGACCACCUUCAAAAAGCCAAGAAGUAAUUGGUUCUUCCUUGCACUCAGCAAGCAGGGAAUUCCGUUCCCAACCCACCUACCCCAGGACCUGACUUGGGCCAAGAGAUGGUAGGACAAUUGAGGGGUCCAUAGCUGAAUGAGAUGCAUCAGGCUGCCAUAUCUGAGGUGGCAACAUGGAUGUGCAGGGCCAGGGAGGCAGAGGACGAGGAGGGCAGGACUCCCUGCCUGCCCUUCAGGUUGCUGCUGAGGGGCCUCCAGGGGACUUGGGGCCUAAGAGGAAAGGAGAAAGGAGGCACUUCAGGCAAACAGGGACCUUCUCAAACCAGGCAUCCCCUCCCAGGGAAACAGGACACUUGCCAGGAGGUGCCAAAGAUGAGCCAAGACCUGGCCAGCAGACAGACUGUGUGGGUGAGCAUGAGUGAAUGAGUGAGUAGCAAAGCCAGGCAGAAGCUCCAGGCACAGGCAGGGCAGGAGAGAGGUGGGGACAGAUCAGGCAGGGAUGCUGCAGGCACUCCCGUGUCCUGGCUUCUCCCCGCCUGCCUCCCCUGUAGAACCGGGACAGAAGGCACUGUGGAGUUGGGGGCAUGCUGGCUGAGCAUGAGUGUGUGCAGGCAUGGGUACGGGCUCGUGAAGAGCUGUGUCGUCCACACACAUCGUCAGGGUGGCCGUGCUUCGGGCCUAAAGGGCUUCCCACAACAGGGAGACCGUGCUCUCACACCGGAGUCUGCCAGCCAGGGGGCUUUCCCUCCCCUGGCUGAGCCUUCCUGUGACCUGAGCUGCCCCCUGCCCAUCCAGGGAGCAGGCGGGCAUCCCCCUGCGGAAGGACACAAGUGAACCCAGAAUGGUGCCUCAAGGCAGGCAGCCUGGCCCAGAUGGCGCCCCCACUCCCCAGACCCAACUCUAACCAGGCCUGGCCCUCUCCUGUGUCUUGCAGAACUUCAGCGAGAGGGAAGCAUCGAGACUCUGAGUAACAGCUCAGGCUCCACCAGCGGCAGCAUACCAAGAAACUUUGAUGGCUACCGAUCUCCGCUGCCCACCAAUGAGAGCCAGCCCCUCAGCCUCUUCCCGACUGGCUUCCCGUAGGUACCAGCAACCUGCUUCUGACUGGCCAGCCCCCUCCCCUGCUGGAGGAGGGGAGAAGCCCCACUCUGGUCCUACCCUUCAGUCUCUGCUCUUCCUUCAUCAACCACCUUCCCCAAGCUUAGUGACAGCAGCCGCCCUUCCUACCUGGAUGGAGAAGAGACCCUUCAAGCACCUCGGCGCACCUGCCCUCUGCCACACCCGUCAGUGGAGGCUGUGGCCAGGAGAGACUGCAGAAGCUCGGUCCCUGUGUAUGUUUGCAUAUGACAUCCUGCAUUGGAUCCGCUUUUGUAUUUUUUAACCUUACCCAUGGUGGGGCGGGUGCGGGGGGGGCCUGGAACAGUGACCAGAUCUGGGGGCCUGAGUGGGGACAGAGUUGAUGGUCCACCUGGCCAUCUUGAUCCUGAGUGGACAGUCACAGCCUCAGCUCAUGUCUGGCUGUGACACACACUGCCCCCAGCUUCCCUUGGUCAGCCCCGCUCCAGCACGGGGUGAACGGAGGCCCAGAGUUCUAGGGAAGGAGGAAGGGAGGGGAUGCCUCCUCUCUUCCUCCUUUCUUUCCCCAUCUGUUCAUGGAAAGAGUUUGUCUUUCUUAUCUUUAAGCCCCUUUACCCUGGUCCUGUACUGAUCAGUGAAGGAAACCGUGGUUACUGAGGCCCUGUUGAAAAGUGCACGUCUUGUCCAAUAAAUCACGCUGCAAUUGGUGUCCA